UCGCAGUUAUUGCUAAAUCCGAUUUCAGAAAAUCAUGAGGAAUUCAGCGUAGGUUAUAACAGUGUCUGUUGUUAUUGUUCUGAGAUGAACCUCUUUGUGUUUGACAAUUGUGCGAAAUCGGUGUUUGUUACUAAGUCAAAGGAAGAAGAUGCAGAAAAUAUUGCAGUAUCACAGUCUGCCACUAUGAGUUCAACAUUUCCCAAGACCAAUCAGACAGCUUCUCACGCCGUAGACAUUGUUCUUAAAUGUAUUUCCCUCACCUUACUUGCAUAUACCAAUUUGGACUUCCAACCUUAGAUUUAAAUAGACCUUUAAGCGAUUUUUUUGACGUUAACAAAGUCACCAUCUACAACAGACAGGAUUGCUGUGGUAAGCAUUUUAAGGUUUAAAAAUAAACAAUAGUAUUCGAGAUGGUAGUAAUUUGCAGGUUAUUUGCCUCAUUAUGUUGUGGACUCACUGUUUCAAAGUAAAUCAUUGUUAAAGGACAAUUUCAUCGACUAUUAAAUCCAAGCUGUUUUAUUGGUUUCUCAGUCUGUUGUUAUGUAUUAUGUUCUAUCAUUCAUAUUUUAAAUAUAUUCUGUGUUUUGAAACAGUAUGAUUUACCAUUCUGUUCCCGAAUAUCUCGAUACAUCAUUCAAUCAAUUCAGACAACAUCUGCAGCAAUCGAAGAAUGCUCUGGUUUGAAAAAUUGUCAUGGGGAAUUUAUUAACUAAAUUUUGUAUGAAUUCAAACGACAAACAUAAAUGUGUUUUUGUAACAUUUCAUAUUCUUUUUUUUACUUCUUUAUCCACUUUUUGUCUUCUAAUUCAAUGUCAUAGUUAAAAUUCAAAUACAAUCAACGCUAGUGGAAACCAUUGAACACAAUUCAAGAUUAAGAAUGUACACAAAUCCGUAGUAGGAUACUUUUCGUCAUUGCUUGCCAUCUUACAUGCAAGUAUUUAUCAAUCACUAUGGAUUAUUACUUUUAUUUUUAAAAACAUAAAACAAAAUCAAAACAACAACCAAAAAGAAAAAAAGAAGAAAAACUUUUGCAUUUGCCGAUUAGCAAAAUGAUUUCGUACAUUUAGAUCAAUGACAAAACUCAAUUUUAACAGAUAUAGACGGGAAAUAAAAGACACCGGUAUAAAGGUAUCAAUCAUCAAACUUACUGCUUAUGUGAAAGAAACUAAUUUUGAGAUGAAGAAAAAAAUAAUACUUACCACUUUUAAUGAAUUAUUGUUAUAUAUUCCAUAAAGGGGAAAGAUUGCAUGAUGUCCAAGUAAACAUCAUAAACAAUGGAAUGGAAGCAUCGUGUGGAUUCUACAAAGGACCAGCAAACCUUGGUGACCGGAUAUCGAUGUAUUGUGCUUCCGGUGCUGUAGGUAGAUAUGUGCUAGUGACAAU
Molecule: long non-coding RNA, 1383 nt
Organism: Magallana angulata
Lineage: Eukaryota; Metazoa; Mollusca; Bivalvia; Ostreida; Ostreidae
Exons: 3
Source: RefSeq, a predicted model, not a curated record